GGAGAGAUAGCGUGCGGAGCGUACAGGUUUAGAUACCCUGUUAGUCCACUCUGUAAACGAUGAGUGCUAAGUGUUAGGGGGUCUCCGCCCUUUAGUGCAGCAGAUAACGCAAUAAGCACUCCGCCUGGGGAGUACGGUCGCGAGACUGAAACUCAAAGGAAUAGACGGGGCCCCGCACACCCGGUGGAGCAUGUGGUUUAAUUAGAAGCAACGCGAAGAACCUUACCAGGUCUUGACAUCCUUUGACAACCCUAGAGAUAGGGCUUUCCCUUCGGGGACAGAGUGACAGGUGGUGCACGGUUGUUGUCAGCUCGUGUCAUGAGAUGUUGGGUUAAGUCCCGCAACGAGCGCAACCCUUGAUUUUAGUUGCCAGCAUUCAGUUGGGCAAGAUAAGGUGACUGCCGGUGACAAACCGGAGGAAGGUGGGGAUGACGUCAAAUCAUCAUGCCCCCCAUGACCUGGGCUACACACGUGCUACAAUGGACAGAACAAAGGGCUGCAAGACCGCAAGGUUUAGCCAAUCCCAUAAAUCUGUUCUCAGUUCGGAUCGCAGUCUGCAACUAGACUGGGUGAAGCAGGAAUCGUUAGUAAUCGCGGAUCAGCAUGCCGCGGUGAAUACAUUCCCGGGCCUUGACACCCCGCCCGACUCACCAGGAGAGUUUGCAACAUCCGGAAGCAAG
This 680-nucleotide ribosomal RNA is filed under the name Bacillus sp. VITRRS. RNAcentral's name for it is "bacterial SSU rRNA". It matches the Rfam family "Bacterial small subunit ribosomal RNA", at positions 750 to 1431 of the family's 1533-position model. The record is from RNAcentral. Lineage: Bacteria; Bacillati; Bacillota; Bacilli; Caryophanales; Bacillaceae.